CACGCAGGCGGCUCGAUAAAUUAGAAGUGAAAGCCUUGGGCUUAACCUAAGAAUUGCUUUUAAGACUGUCGAGCUAGAAUCCAGAAGAGGGUAGUGGAAUUCCAAGUGUAGAGGUGAAAUUCGUAGAUAUUUGGAAGAACACCAGUGGCGAAGGCGACUACCUGGUCUGGCAUUGACGCUCAUGUGCGAAAGCGUGGGGAGCAAACAGGAUUAGAUACCCUGGUAGUCCACGCCGUAAACGAUGGGUGCUAGUUGUUGGGGACCAUAGGUCUUCAGUGACGCAGCUAACGCAUUAAGCACCCCGCCUGGGAGUACGGCCGCAGGUUAA
RNAcentral lists this ribosomal RNA (328 nucleotides) under uncultured bacterium. RNAcentral's name for it is "bacterial SSU rRNA". It matches the Rfam family "Bacterial small subunit ribosomal RNA", at positions 568 to 897 of the family's 1533-position model. The record is from RNAcentral.